This 1260-nucleotide long non-coding RNA is filed under the name Gallus gallus (chicken). RNAcentral describes it as "lncRNA (ENSGALG00010028933.1)". The record is from RNAcentral. Lineage: Eukaryota; Metazoa; Chordata; Aves; Galliformes; Phasianidae.
GUGGUUAUAAGGGAUCUAUGGUGUGUCUGAAGGGGGGUACGGUGGUUAUAGGGGAUAUAUGGGGUAUCUGAAGGGGGGUGGGGUGGCUAUAGGGCAUCUAUGGGGUGUCUAAAAGGGACUGGGGUGGUUAUAGGGGAUUUGUAGGGUAUCUAAAGGGGGUUGGGGUGGUUAUAGGGUAUCUAUAGGGUGUCUGAAGGGGGGUGGGGUGGUUAUAGGGGAUCUAUAGGGUGUCUGAAGGGGAUUGGGGUGGUUAUAGGGGAUCUAUGGGGUGUCUGAAGGGGAUUGGGGUGGUUAUAGGGGAUCUGUAGAGUAUUUAAAGGGGAUUGGGGUGGUUAUAUGGCAUCUAUAGGGUAUCUGAAGGGGGGUGGGGUGGUUAUAGGGGAUCUAUGGGGUGUUUAAAAGGGUUUGGGGCAGUUAUAGGGGAUCUGUAGGGUAUCAAAAGGGGUGUGGGGUGGUUAUAGGGGAUCUAUAGGGGAUAUGGGGUGGAUAUGGGGUAUCUAUAGAAAAUCUAUGGGGGGGUGGGGAGGUGCCUAUAGGGGCAAGAGAUACCCUAUAGGAUCUGGGGGUACCUGUAGGAUCUGGGCAAUGCCUAUGGGGUUGGAUGGUGCCUAUAGGGGCAGGGGGAACCCUAUAGGAUCAAGGGUGCCCUAUAGGAUCUGUGGGAUGCUUAUGGGGUUGGGCGGUGCCUAUAGGAUCUGGGGGUGCCUAUAGGAUCUGGGUGGUGCCUAUAGGGGCAGGGGGUGCCCUAUAGGAUCUGGGGGAGCCCUACGGGAUCUGUGGGAUGCUUAUGGGGUUGGGCGGUGCCUAUAGGGACAGGGGGAGCCCUAUAGGAUCUGGGGGUACCUGUAGGAUCUGAGCAAUGCCUAUGGGGUUGGAUGGUGCCUAUAGGGGCAAGGGGAGCCCUAUGGGAUCUGGGGGAGCCCUAAAGGAUCUGUGCGAUGCUUAUGGGGUUGGGCGGUGCCUAUAGGAUCUGGGGGUGCCUAUAGGAUUUGGGCAAUGUUUAUGGGGUUGGGCCGUGCCUAUAGGGGCAGGGGGAGCCCCAUAGGAUCUAGGGGUGCCCUAUAGGAUCUGUGGGAUGCUUAUGGGGUUGGGCGGUGCCUAUAGGAUCUCGGGUACCUAUAGGAUCUGGGCAGUGCCUAUAGCGGCACAGGGAGCCCUAUAGGAUCAGGGGGUACCUAUAGGAUCUGGGCAAUCCCUAUGGGGUUGGUUGGUAUCUAUAGGAUCUGGGGGUACCUAUAGGAUCUGUGUGGUGCCUAUAGG